This 791-nucleotide ribosomal RNA is filed under the name Dichotella gemmacea. RNAcentral describes it as "eukaryotic LSU rRNA". It matches the Rfam family "Eukaryotic large subunit ribosomal RNA", at positions 402 to 999 of the family's 3401-position model. Lineage: Eukaryota; Metazoa; Cnidaria; Anthozoa; Scleralcyonacea; Ellisellidae. The record is from RNAcentral.
AAACCGUUGAAAGGGAAGCGAAUGGAGUUAGCAAUUCGCCCUGCCAGAUUCAGUCUUACGCGUUCCGCGACGGGCGCGCACUCGAUCUACGUAGACGAGUCGUGUUCGGACGCGGCACGGGAGAGGCGCAUUUAUGGCGGGCGAGCGUCAACGUCGGUCUUCGUCGGGCUAAAAGGCCGUGAGGGAGGUGAACGGCCUUCGGGCCGUUGUUAUAACCUCGCGAGCGUAUGGCUCGACGAAGACCGUGGAGUCGCGACGCGUGCUUCCCUCCGGGGGGGCUGGUGUCCUGUUCUGUUGGUCCGGUUGUCGACCGUGGCGGACGGCACGCCUGUGCGCUCGAACUGCUGCCGGUCAACAGGGCGGUGAUCACACACUACGCGUCGAGGACGUUGACGACCAUACGGCUCUAUCCGACCCGUCUUGAAACACGGACCAAGGAGUCUGACAUGUGCGCGAGUCUCUGGGUGAUCGAAACCCGUGGGCGCAAUGAAAGUAAAGGCGGCCUCGGCCGCUGAGGUGAGAAGCGUCGGCCCCGUGUCGGCGCCGCAUCAUCGACCGACCUGUUCUACUCUUAGAAAGGUUUGAGUAAGAGCGUACCUGUUGGGACCCGAAAGAUGGUGAACUAUGCCUGAAUAGGGUGAAGCCAGCGGAAACACUGGUGGAAGCUCGUAGCGAUUCUGACGUGCAAAUCGAUCGUCGAAUUUGGGUAUAGCGGCGAAAGACUAAUCGAACCAUCUAGUAGCUGGUUCCCUCCGAAGUUUCCCUUAGGAUAGCUGGGGCUCUCGUGCAGU